UGAGGAAUAUUGGUCAAUGGACGCAAGUCUGAACCAGCCAAGUAGCGUGCAGGAUGACGGCCCUAUGGGUUGUAAACUGCUUUUAUAUGGGGAUAAAGUGGGGAACGUGUUCCCUUUUGCAGGUACCAUAUGAAUAAGGACCGGCUAAUUCCGUGCCAGCAGCCGCAGUAAUACGGAAGGUUCGGGCGUUAUCCGGAUUUAUUGGGUUUAAAGGGAGCGUAGGCCGUUUGGUAAGCGUGUUGUGAAAUGUAGGAGCUCAACUUCUAGAUUGCAGCGCGAACUGUCAGACUUGAGUGCGCACAACGUAGGCGGAAUUCAUGGUGUAGCGGUGAAAUGCUUAGAUAUCAUGAAGAACUCCGAUUGCGAAGGCAGCUUACGGGAGCGCAACUGACGCUGAAGCUCGAAGGUGCGGGUAUCGAACAGG
RNAcentral lists this ribosomal RNA (424 nucleotides) under Verrucomicrobiota bacterium. RNAcentral describes it as "Verrucomicrobia bacterium partial 16S ribosomal RNA". It matches the Rfam family "Bacterial small subunit ribosomal RNA", at positions 355 to 776 of the family's 1533-position model. Lineage: Bacteria; Pseudomonadati; Verrucomicrobiota. The record is from RNAcentral.